This 373-nucleotide ribosomal RNA is filed under the name uncultured organism. RNAcentral's name for it is "partial 16S ribosomal RNA". It matches the Rfam family "Bacterial small subunit ribosomal RNA", at positions 527 to 896 of the family's 1533-position model. The record is from RNAcentral.
GUAGGUGGCAAGCGUUGUCCGGAAUUAUUGGGGCGUAAAGCGCGCGCAGGCGGUUCUUUAAGUCUGAUGUGAAAGCCCACGGCUCAACCGUGGAGGGUCAUCGGAAACUGGAGAACUUGAGUACAGAAGAGGAAAGCGGAAUUCCACGUGUAGCGGUGAAAUGCGUAGAGAUGUGGAGGAACACCAGUGGCGAAGGCGGCUUUCUGGUCUGUAACUGACGCUGAGGCGCGAAAGCGUGGGGAGCAAACAGGAUUAGAUACCCUGGUAGUCCACGCCGUAAACGAUGAGUGCUAAGUGUUAGGGGGUUUCCGCCCCUUAGUGCUGCAGCUAACGCAUUAAGCACUCCGCCUGGGGAGUACGGCCGCAAAGGCUG